UGCCAGCAGCCGCGGUAAUACAGGGGAUGCUAGCGUUAUCCGGAAUCAUUGGGCGUAAAGCGUGCGUAGGCGGUUUAUUAAGUCAGAUGUGAAAGCCCCGGGCUUAACCUGGGAACUGCAUUUGAAACUGGUAAACUAGAGUAUGGUAGAGGAAAGUGGAAUUUCUGGUGUAGCGGUGAAAUGCGUAGAUAUCAGAAGGAACAUCAAUGGCGAAGGCAGCUUUCUGGACCAAUACUGACGCUGAGGUACGAAAGCGUGGGUAGCAAACAGGAUUAGAUA
RNAcentral lists this ribosomal RNA (279 nucleotides) under uncultured bacterium. RNAcentral describes it as "partial 16S ribosomal RNA". It matches the Rfam family "Bacterial small subunit ribosomal RNA", at positions 506 to 784 of the family's 1533-position model. The record is from RNAcentral.